GACGAACGCUGGCGGCGUGCUUAACACAUGCAAGUCGAACGAUGAAGCUAGAGCUUGCUCUGGUGAAUUAGUGGCGAACGGGUGAGUAACACGUGAGUAACCUGCCCCGAACUCUGGGAUAACUGCUGGAAACGGUAGCUAAUACUGGAUACGACCUACGAAGGCAUCUUCUGUAGGUGGAAAGAAUUUCGGUUCGGGAUGGACUCGCGGCCUAUCAGCGUGUUGGUGAGGUAAUGGCUCACCAAGGCGACGACGGGUAGCCGGCCUGAGAGGGUGACCGGCCACACUGGGACUGAGACACGGACCAGACUCCUACGGGAGGCAGCAGUGGGGAAUAUUGCACAAUGGGCGCAAGCCUGAUGCAGCAACGCCGCGUGAGGGAUGACGGCCUUCGGGUUGUAAACCUCUUUUAGUAGGGAAGAAGCGAAAGUGACGGUACCUGCAGAAAAAGCACCGGCUAACUACGUGCCAGCAGCCGCCGUAA
Molecule: ribosomal RNA, 484 nt
Filed under: uncultured bacterium
Lineage: Bacteria
Description: partial 16S ribosomal RNA
Rfam family: Bacterial small subunit ribosomal RNA
Source: RNAcentral